Molecule: ribosomal RNA, 445 nt
Filed under: uncultured bacterium
Lineage: Bacteria
Description: partial 16S ribosomal RNA
Rfam family: Bacterial small subunit ribosomal RNA
Source: RNAcentral
GUAGGGAAUAUUGGGCAAUGGAUGCAAGUCUGACCCAGCCAUCCCGCGUGCCGGAAGAAGGCCCUCAGGGUUGUAAACGGCUUUUGACGGUGAAGAACCGACAGGAUGCGUCCUGUUUUGACGGUAGCCGUUGAAUAAGCACCGGCUAACUCCGUGCCAGCAGCCGCGGUAAUACGGCGGGUGCGAGCGUUGUCCGGAUUUAUUGGGUUUAAAGGGUGCGUAGGCUGGAAGGUCAGUCAGCGGUGAAAAGCUAUCGCUUAACGAUAGUCUUGCCGCAGAUACUUCCUUUCUUGGAUGAGGAGGAGGCCACUGGAACGGAUGGUGUAGCGGUGAAAUGCAUAGAUAUCAUCCAGAACACCGAUUGCGAAGGCAGGUGGCUGUACCUUAAUCGACGCUGAUGCACGAAAGCAUGGGGAGCAAACAGGAUUAGAAACCCCAGUAGUCC